This 465-nucleotide ribosomal RNA is filed under the name uncultured Klebsiella sp. RNAcentral's name for it is "bacterial SSU rRNA". It matches the Rfam family "Bacterial small subunit ribosomal RNA", at positions 338 to 795 of the family's 1533-position model. The record is from RNAcentral. Lineage: Bacteria; Pseudomonadati; Pseudomonadota; Gammaproteobacteria; Enterobacterales; Enterobacteriaceae.
CCUACGGGUGGCAGCAGUGGGGAAUAUUGCACAAUGGGCGCAAGCCUGAUGCAGCCAUGCCGCGUGUGUGAAGAAGGCCUUCGGGUUGUAAAGCACUUUCAGCGGGGAGGAAGGCGUUAAGGUUAAUAACCUUGUCGAUUGACGUUACCCGCAGAAGAAGCACCGGCUAACUCCCUGCCAGCAGCCGCGGUAAUACGGAGGGUGCAAGCGUUAAUCGGAAUUACUGGGCGUAAAGCGCACGCAGGCGGUCUGUCAAGUCGGAUGUGAAAUCCCCGGGCUCAACCUGGGAACUGCAUUCGAAACUGGCAGGCUAGAGUCUUGUAGAGGGGGGUAGAAUUCCAGGUGUAGCGGUGAAAUGCGUAGAGAUCUGGAGGAAUACCGGUGGCGAAGGCGGCCCCCUGGACAAAGACUGACGCUCAGGUGCGAAAGCGUGGGGAGCAAACAGGAUUAGAUACCCGAGUAGUC